AGUUUGAUCCUGGCUCAGAUUGAACGCUGGCGGCAGGCCUAACACAUGCAGGUCGAGCGGUAGCACGGGAGAGCUUGCUCUCUGGGUGACGAGCGGCGGACGGGUGAGUAAUGUCUGGGAAACUGCCUGAUGGAGGGGGAUAACUACUGGAAACGGUAGCUAAUACCGCAUGACCUCGCAAGAGCAAAGUGGGGGACCUUCGGGCCUCACGCCAUCGGAUGUGCCCAGAUGGGAUUAGCUAGUAGGCGGGGUAAUGGCUCACCUAGGCGACGAUCCCUAGCUGGUCUGAGAGGAUGACCAGCCACACUGGAACUGAGACACGGUCCAGACUCCUACGGGAGGCAGCAGUGGGGAAUAUUGCACAAUGGGCGCAAGCCUGAUGCAGCCAUGCCGCGUGUGUGAAGAAGGCCUUAGGGUUGUAAAGCACUUUCAGCGAGGAGGAAGGCGUUGUAGUUAAUAGCUGCAGCGAUUGACGUUACUCGCAGAAGAAGCACCGGCUAACUCCGUGCCAGCAGCCGCGGUAAUACGGAGGGUGCAAGCGUUAAUCGGAAUUACUGGGCGUAAAGCGCACGCAGGCGGUUUGUUAAGUCAGAUGUGAAAUCCCCGAGCUUAACUUGGGAACUGCAUUUGAAACUGGCAAGCUAGAGUCUUGUAG
Molecule: ribosomal RNA, 655 nt
Filed under: uncultured bacterium
Lineage: Bacteria
Description: bacterial SSU rRNA
Rfam family: Bacterial small subunit ribosomal RNA
Source: RNAcentral